ACACUUAGGAUGCUGGCGUAAUGGCUUUAAGUGGCCCGUCUUGGAACACGGACCAAGGAGUCUAACAUGUGUGCGAGUUUUUGGGUGGCAAACCCAUGAGCGUAAUGAAAGUGAAUGCAGGUGGGAUCCGCAAGGAGCACCAUCGACCGGCCCUGAUGUUCUCGGAUGGGUCUGCGUAAGAGCAUAUAUGUUGGGACCCGAAAGAUGGUGAACUAUGCCUGAAUAGGGCGAAGCCAGGGGAAACUCUGGUGGAGGCUCGUAGGGAUUCUGACGUGCAAAUCGAUCUUCAAAUUUGGGUAUAGGGGCGAAAGACUAAUCGAACCAUACUAGUAGCUGGUUCCCUCCGAAAUUUCCCUUAGGAUAGCUGCAACCGGUUAAGAGUUUUAUCAGGUAAAGCGAAUGAUUAGAGG
Molecule: ribosomal RNA, 410 nt
Filed under: Ochromonas sp. CCMP1393
Lineage: Eukaryota; Chrysophyceae; Chromulinales; Chromulinaceae
Description: partial Eukaryotic large subunit ribosomal RNA
Rfam family: Eukaryotic large subunit ribosomal RNA
Source: RNAcentral